This 1542-nucleotide ribosomal RNA is filed under the name Escherichia coli. Its description in RNAcentral is "bacterial SSU rRNA". It matches the Rfam family "Bacterial small subunit ribosomal RNA". Lineage: Bacteria; Pseudomonadati; Pseudomonadota; Gammaproteobacteria; Enterobacterales; Enterobacteriaceae. The record is from RNAcentral.
AAAUUGAAGAGUUUGAUCAUGGCUCAGAUUGAACGCUGGCGGCAGGCCUAACACAUGCAAGUCGAACGGUAACAGGAAGCAGCUUGCUGCUUUGCUGACGAGUGGCGGACGGGUGAGUAAUGUCUGGGAAACUGCCUGAUGGAGGGGGAUAACUACUGGAAACGGUAGCUAAUACCGCAUAAUGUCGCAAGACCAAAGAGGGGGACCUUCGGGCCUCUUGCCAUCGGAUGUGCCCAGAUGGGAUUAGCUAGUAGGUGGGGUAACGGCUCACCUAGGCGACGAUCCCUAGCUGGUCUGAGAGGAUGACCAGCCACACUGGAACUGAGACACGGUCCAGACUCCUACGGGAGGCAGCAGUGGGGAAUAUUGCACAAUGGGCGCAAGCCUGAUGCAGCCAUGCCGCGUGUAUGAAGAAGGCCUUCGGGUUGUAAAGUACUUUCAGCGGGGAGGAAGGGAGUAAAGUUAAUACCUUUGCUCAUUGACGUUACCCGCAGAAGAAGCACCGGCUAACUCCGUGCCAGCAGCCGCGGUAAUACGGAGGGUGCAAGCGUUAAUCGGAAUUACUGGGCGUAAAGCGCACGCAGGCGGUUUGUUAAGUCAGAUGUGAAAUCCCCGGGCUCAACCUGGGAACUGCAUCUGAUACUGGCAAGCUUGAGUCUCGUAGAGGGGGGUAGAAUUCCAGGUGUAGCGGUGAAAUGCGUAGAGAUCUGGAGGAAUACCGGUGGCGAAGGCGGCCCCCUGGACGAAGACUGACGCUCAGGUGCGAAAGCGUGGGGAGCAAACAGGAUUAGAUACCCUGGUAGUCCACGCCGUAAACGAUGUCGACUUGGAGGUUGUGCCCUUGAGGCGUGGCUUCCGGAGCUAACGCGUUAAGUCGACCGCCUGGGGAGUACGGCCGCAAGGUUAAAACUCAAAUGAAUUGACGGGGGCCCGCACAAGCGGUGGAGCAUGUGGUUUAAUUCGAUGCAACGCGAAGAACCUUACCUGGUCUUGACAUCCACAGAACCUUGUAGAGAUACGAGGGUGCCUUCGGGAACUGUGAGACAGGUGCUGCAUGGCUGUCGUCAGCUCGUGUUGUGAAAUGUUGGGUUAAGUCCCGCAACGAGCGCAACCCUUAUCCUUUGUUGCCAGCGGUCCGGCCGGGAACUCAAAGGAGACUGCCAGUGAUAAACUGGAGGAAGGUGGGGAUGACGUCAAGUCAUCAUGGCCCUUACGACCAGGGCUACACACGUGCUACAAUGGCGCAUACAAAGAGAAGCGACCUCGCGAGAGCAAGCGGACCUCAUAAAGUGCGUCGUAGUCCGGAUUGGAGUCUGCAACUCGACUCCAUGAAGUCGGAAUCGCUAGUAAUCGUGGAUCAGAAUGCCACGGUGAAUACGUUCCCGGGCCUUGUACACACCGCCCGUCACACCAUGGGAGUGGGUUGCAAAAGAAGUAGGUAGCUUAACCUUCGGGAGGGCGCUUACCACUUUGUGAUUCAUGACUGGGGUGAAGUCGUAACAAGGUAACCGUAGGGGAACCUGCGGUUGGAUCACCUCCUUA